UGGUUGGGCGAGGCGUUUGCCCUUCCGCCUGCUCACGGAAAAGCCCCGCCGUUCCGCCGAUUUGGGCUAGCAGCCCAAUAGCCCGCGAGGAUAGAAAAGAGCUCGCGAUUAUCGUGGAGCUGUCCCUGGAGAGGAAGCCGCAAGCCCUUCCGCAUCCCCCUAGGUGAAUUCAUUCUCCUCCAGUGACUUCAGCUGCCACCAAGUCUCUCCGUCUCCCAGGAAACUUUCUCUCAGGAAGUCGGCAUGACAGUGGAAGGACUAGGCACCGCUGCUAGAAUUCGAUAUUUUACUUCAUGCCUAUUUCAAGAACCACACAUGAAGCUCUAAGAAUUAUCUAGCCUGAGACCACAAGUUGGCACUCUCAUACUUAGUAUCAGAUCAUUAGCUCUGAGAAGCCAGCUUCCAUGUUGUGAACAACUCUAUGGAGAGACUUACGUGGUAAGGAACUGAAUCUUCUUGUCAAAAGCCAUGUGAUGAACUUGGAAGCAGAAUCCUCCAGACAAGGUAAGCCUUCAGAGGACUGCAAAGCUGGCUGACAUCUUGACCUCAACCUCAUGAGAGAUCCUGAGCUAGAACCACCCAGCUAAAUGGCUCAUAUUCCUGAACCUCACUGUAUGAGAUAAUAAAUAAAUGUUUGUUGUCUUAAGCCA
This is a long non-coding RNA of Vicugna pacos (alpaca), 650 nucleotides long. RefSeq lists it as uncharacterized. The record is from RefSeq and is a predicted model, not a curated record. Lineage: Eukaryota; Metazoa; Chordata; Mammalia; Artiodactyla; Camelidae.